CACCUGAAGACGGAGCACUUCCUCCGAGCAAACGGAAUCCCGGAACACGGUUUCCAAAAGCUCGUUCGCGUGCUUCUCCAAAUCUACGGCUCUGUUCUCCAACACGUGUAUGCUUUCCUAGAAAGUUUGGGUUUUUCGCGCGCAUUUUGUAUCGUGGUCAUCAUUUGAGCCAUCGGCUCCGCCAGACUCUCCAAGUGGAUCAACGCGUUCAAAUUUUGCAUCUCGAUCGAUCUGAACACGUUGAUCAGUUCGUACGGUUCCUUAAAAUACAAAUCUGCAGGACCUGCAUCGCUGAUAUCUUGCUCGAAAAAAUCUGCGAGAAAAACAAGUCGAAUUAUUCGUUUGAAACGGAGGGAGGGGAGAUAUUUGGUGCGUAAUCACCUAUAAGAGCGUCGAGGGAGGCAACUUCGCCCAGCAUUCUGUAACGGCCGAACAAAUCCUCCGUAUGGUCGUAAGUGAUGCUCUCCCCUGAAUGACUGCGAUGGAUCCAAUCGUGCUCCGUCCGCCAAGAAAUCGGAGCUAUCUGAUAGAGGAAUCGUUGGCACAUCUUCAUCAUUCUCCAACUCUCCUCCCAGUGGUAUACUUCCAAUCUGACCCGGCCAUACUCGACGGAGAGCUUGUUCCUGUGAUCCGUCAUCUCUCUAGUUUUCUUCGACUCGUUCUCAGCGAGUAAUAGAAGUUCCAUACUCUCCUCGUGAUCCUUCGAGAGAAAUUCCUCGAAACCGCUUAUGUAUCGACGAUAUCGUCGCUGGAAAAAAAAAAACACGGAUGGAUGGAAGAAUAAGCGAUUAUAUAAGAUAUUGGAUCGUGGAAAAUUUUUUCUUUUUUUUUUUUUUUUGAUUUAAAACAAACACCUUGA
Long non-coding RNA from Apis mellifera (honey bee), 859 nucleotides. RefSeq lists it as uncharacterized. The record is from RefSeq and is a predicted model, not a curated record. NCBI's taxonomy places the organism in Eukaryota, Metazoa, Arthropoda, Insecta, Hymenoptera, Apidae. The transcript is spliced from 3 exons.